AAUUGUAGGUAGUUCGUGUAUAGAUCUCGUCAGCAUAUCGUCGCAAACAGGAAAUCCCCAACCAUAGUGGGCUUGAAGCUGUGAGGGAAUUCGGAGUGGCCACCCGUUCUGAAAGUUUGAUUUUCUUCUGGUGAAUUGGACAUCCUUUUAUUUACGUUUGAAGUUUUGGGUUUUUAAAUGUAAUAAGGCCGCUUAAUUAUUUUUAAUGGUUUUAAUAUGUAUUACUAAGAUAGGUAUUACUUAUUUUAACUGUUGAAAUUGGAUAGCUUUAGGGCGCGUUUUCAAAAACAACAGUUGAUUUCAAAAUAACACGACAACAAGCAAAGCUUCCGCAAUGAAAGUAUUUUCCAAAA
Long non-coding RNA from Gossypium arboreum, 353 nucleotides. RefSeq lists it as uncharacterized. The record is from RefSeq and is a predicted model, not a curated record. Lineage: Eukaryota; Viridiplantae; Streptophyta; Magnoliopsida; Malvales; Malvaceae. The transcript is spliced from 2 exons.